AUUUAGAUAGUUUAAUAAAAACUUUGAUUUGUGGUGUCAAGAAUGAAUAUUUAUUCUCUAGAUU
RNAcentral lists this transfer RNA (64 nucleotides) under Platycorynus sp. N26. Its description in RNAcentral is "tRNA-His". Lineage: Eukaryota; Metazoa; Arthropoda; Insecta; Coleoptera; Chrysomelidae. The record is from RNAcentral.